RNAcentral lists this ribosomal RNA (520 nucleotides) under uncultured Glomus. RNAcentral describes it as "SSU rRNA". It matches the Rfam family "Eukaryotic small subunit ribosomal RNA", at positions 569 to 1090 of the family's 1831-position model. The record is from RNAcentral. Lineage: Eukaryota; Fungi; Glomeromycota; Glomeromycetes; Glomerales; Glomeraceae.
AGCAGCCGCGGUAAUUCCAGCUCCAAUAGCGUAUAUUAAAGUUGUUGCAGUUAAAAGCUCGUAGUUGAAUUUCGGGGUUAGUAGGUUGGUCGUGCCACUGGUACGUACUGGUCUCACUGAUUCCUCCUUCCUGAUGAACUGUAAUGCCAUUAAUUUGGUGUUGCAGGGAAACUGGACUGUUACUUUGAAAAAAUUAGAGUGUUUAAAGCAAGCUAACGCUUGAAUACAUUAGCAUGGAAUAAUGAAAUAGGACGUUCGAUCCUAUUUUGUUGGUUUCUAGGAUUGACGUAAUGAUUAAUAGGGAUAGUUGGGGGCAUUAGUAUUCAAUUGUCAGAGGUGAAAUUCUUGGAUUUAUUGAAGACUAACUACUGCGAAAGCAUUUUGCCAAGGAUGUUUUCAUUAAUCAAGAACGAAAGUUAGGGGAUCGAAGACGAUCAGAUACCGUCGUAGUCUUAACCAUAAACUAUGCCGACUAGGGAUCGGAUGAUGUUAAUUUUUUAAUGACUCAUUCGGCGCCUUA